Molecule: non-coding RNA, 29 nt
Filed under: Mus musculus (house mouse)
Lineage: Eukaryota; Metazoa; Chordata; Mammalia; Rodentia; Muridae
Source: RNAcentral
UAGAAAAAAAUUUAAUGUUUAUGUAGUGC